GCCUUCGUGGUGUAGUGGUCAGUACGCUGGGCGCGUAUUCCAGAGGUCCGUGGUUCGAGUCCCGGCGAAGGCG
This 73-nucleotide transfer RNA is filed under the name Stegodyphus mimosarum. It matches the Rfam family "tRNA". From Rfam's summary of the family: Transfer RNA (tRNA) molecules are approximately 80 nucleotides in length. The record is from Rfam by way of RNAcentral. Lineage: Eukaryota; Metazoa; Arthropoda; Arachnida; Araneae; Eresidae.